ACGCUCGACACUACGAGGCAGCAGUGGGGAAUAUUGCACAAUGGGGGAAACCCUGAUGCAGCGACGCCGCGUGGAGGAAGAAGGUCUUCGGAUUGUAAACUCCUGUUGUUGGGGAAAAAGAGGAUGGUACCCAACAAGGAAGUGACGGCUAACUACGUGCUAGCAGCCGCGGUAAUCUGAGCGGGCUGGCAAGGC
RNAcentral lists this ribosomal RNA (195 nucleotides) under uncultured bacterium. RNAcentral describes it as "partial 16S ribosomal RNA". It matches the Rfam family "Bacterial small subunit ribosomal RNA", at positions 326 to 539 of the family's 1533-position model. The record is from RNAcentral.